GCGCGGCCCCCGUCUGCCGCCGGGUCGUUAACGGGCAGCCAGGUCGCCUGCAGCACUACGGCCCCUCCCGCGCACGCGCGCCCUCUGGCGGCCGAGGCCGGAACAGCCCCUGAGCGUCCGUGCGGGCGGUGCGGGCGAUGCCGGCCGCGCGGCCACCCUGGUCCCUGCCUUCCAGCCGGGCUGCAGCGGAAAUCAGUGACAAGUGGGACGAGCAGCCAGAUGGCACGCAGUCAGCUCCCGGGUGCACAGAGAAAGCGACGCGAGCUGCCGAGGACGACGGAAUCACCAGUGAGUUCAGCCGCCACGCAUCAGAGGUCAUGAAACACCUGUCGGCUUUGUUUGUUUUACCAUUGAUGCAUUGACCAGACGCAAAUAGCAUAAAUUGUCAAAAGACCUGAAUAUAGAGAAUUUACACAAGGAAAAAACUUUCCAUCAUAUGAAAAUAAUGCUAAGUUACCAAAAUGUCCUGGCCUCCAUUUCUGGCCAGACUGUGAAGGAACUUGGUUCACGACAACGUUCCAGGACUGGGUGAAACUCGUGAUUCCAUCAGAGGACAGUUUGGUGCAGGACGAACCACAAGCCGUAAAAAUGAUCCUGCCCUAUGAUGGACCCCAUCAGCAGUCCCGGACCUGGGAAACAGGCGAAAGAUAUAAUUAAAGGAAGAAAAACGCUUUUGGAUGGGAGAUAAAUAUAGGAGGAUUCGUUAGAGUCAUACUGAGAAUGGACAGGCGGGCCGAGGGUUACUCCUUUUGAAGGGGACUGAGUAAGCGCGCUUCCCAACUUCCACUAAACUGUUUGAAGGGUUUAUUUUCCUUUAUUUGAAAAACCUAACACAGACGUUUUCCAAUGUGGGCUGUAUAUCCAGAAUAAUGAAGAAAGUAGCUUAAUUUGUCUUUGGAGAUAAAUAGCCACUUGAAGAUGUGCCUUAAGACAGCAAGCAUUGAAUUACCCUUACAUUUGUGGAUACUUAUUCUUUUUAACUUUUAAAACGUGAAGUAUAGUCUUUUAUUAAUAAAUCAAAUUUCUAUGUAAUUUUAUUCCUGUAAUGUUAAGUGUAGCCCUAAAACUUUGCUGUUAAUUCCCCAAAGAUCAUUCCUUUUCUCUUUACCACAAUAUUCAUGUCUGUAAGUCCAUUUCUGAGUAUAAAUGUUUAGAUAUUAUCGGGUCAGACGUGGAAGGCUGAAAGCUUUAAAAAGUCCUCCUGGGCCGGAAGGGUCCGGCCAGUGUGCCCUCAGUGCCCUGCGCUGCGUUCUUCCUCCCCACGGCAGCUCUUAUUCUAAUUCUUCCUCUGCGAGUGAACCUCGAGCCAUCUCCCCUGGUGCGUCUUGGGUCUUUAGCGCUGAGUCCUCAGAGAGUCGAGCCGUGACCUGUCCACAGUUGGUAGAUUUGUUGUGAAAACACCAGGACCUGCAGCCAGAGCUCUGUGGUGUCCUCCUGAAGGGUGGGGAGAGGGCCUCCCCUUGUCCUUUGGGUCACCUGGAGACCCUCUGCCUCGGAGCAGCGGCCUGGGUGUGAGAAAGUCUCAGCUGGUGAGGAAGGAGGUGGAGGUUUGCGAUUCUCCCACACGGAAUAUGAAGCCCGAAGAACUCUCCCCCAGGCCUCGGCCUCCGCAGACUCGGGGCUGGUGCAGCUCCGGGAGCAGCCGCUGCUCAGGAAGCUCCGGGCCCGAGCUGGGGGAGGGCCACGGUCAGGGCCGGGCUGGUUUACGAUUGUAACCAAGCAUCUCAGGAAACCUUCCUCUUUCCCUCGGCUUCUACCCUCUGCGCUGGCCUCACCUCUCGGUGGAGGGUUCUAUGAUACUUCUACUGUCUUAUCCAUUUUCGAGAAACAAACCCUUCCCCACGUGGGUUAGCUGUGACUAACAAACUUCUCUACCUAACCUUUUUUCCGUUAGAAAAUACGUUCCAAGCUCCCCCGCAGGACUCUGGGAACAAGAGAGAUCUCUGCGCCCGGGCAGCCCCUCCAGAGAGGAGACUCCUUCGGGAGGGAGGAAGCAGGGGCGGGAGCAGGCGUUGCAGGGCCUCCCAGCAGCCGUGCGCCCCGGGCAGUUAUCCGCUGCCUGUCUGGGCCUCUGUUUCCCUACAUUUAGAGCCAGAUAGUCGUACAUGCAGAGCUCUGAGAGUCAGAGACAAGAUAGGAGAGUGUCCAAAAACAGGCUCUGCACACUGAAUAAAACAAAGCAGAAGCACAAGUUUAUUGCAAGGCUUUCGACCGGCAAGCCAGGAAACUCAAGGCUAUGGGAGCAGUGAGUUCCAAGUUGCUCACGGACCACGGGAUUUUCCUGGGAUAAAUGCACAAGAUAUUCGGCUUCUGCAGCUGAUCGGUGGCCCAGCAGUCUUCUUUCUUACUUGGAUCCGGGUAGCUGAGUCAGGGGAAGUCCAGAGAUGGCGUGAACGGACUUGGCAUUUGGGGAUUGGCUGGUGAACUCUGCUGAUUUCCGAGAUCUGUCAAUUCCUGUAAGACCUGCCCUGAAAGAAAUGAUAAGGGAAUCCUUCCAGUUGAAGUGAAAAUACACUAGACAGUAACAUGAAGAUGUGAAGAAAUAAAGAUGUCUGGUAAAAGACUCAUCACAAGGCAAACAAUAUGCCUGACCCGCCACUCACCAAGUGCGACUAUGGGUAAAACAUUCACCUGCUUGAACCUCAGGCUCCUCAUCUGUAAAACGAUUUUAUAACUGUUUGUAAUGUCGACUGAUCCAAUAAGGACAAGUGAGAAAUCUGUUCCUUAUUAAAAUGUCAGGUAACCUUGAAGCAACAUCCCACACUCUGUGCGGCUGAAUGGGAUCCACACAGAACUUGGGGCAUCAGGGGAGGCCACUCGUCUCUACACAACUGAGGUGUUCAUUACCAGACGUGAGGCCAGCCAGCCUCCUGCACCGCUGUAGUGAAGGAAGAUCCCAGCCUGGCUCUUCUGGAGUUAUCGGGCGGCUUUCCCCUCUCAUUUUCUCUGGGACCUCACAACACUGAUUAUUAUUGUCACCCCCGGAUCCUCCUCCUGUCUCUCUGCUCACACAGUAAUAGAAGGCUCUCGAUAGGUUCAGGUCUCUCCAGUCCUUCAAAAAUGACCACAGGACCCUGCAAUUCACCUACUGUUCUCCCUCUCAAUGCACAACAAACUCUGUCUGUUUCCAAACUGGAAUAAGUGUUUAUGUGUAAAGGUGGAACUGGGUGGCCUGAGACAUGGUGAUACGGAGA
This is a long non-coding RNA of Equus caballus (horse), 3194 nucleotides long. The record is from Ensembl. NCBI's taxonomy places the organism in Eukaryota, Metazoa, Chordata, Mammalia, Perissodactyla, Equidae.